UGAGGUGUAGCUCAGUCGGCAGAGCGCCCGGUUGUUACCCGGGUCCGCGCAGGUUCGAGUCCUGCCACCUCAG
RNAcentral lists this transfer RNA (73 nucleotides) under Cellulosimicrobium sp. XJ-DQ-B-000. Its description in RNAcentral is "tRNA-Asn". It matches the Rfam family "tRNA". From Rfam's summary of the family: Transfer RNA (tRNA) molecules are approximately 80 nucleotides in length. Lineage: Bacteria; Bacillati; Actinomycetota; Actinomycetes; Micrococcales; Promicromonosporaceae. The record is from RNAcentral.